RNAcentral lists this ribosomal RNA (478 nucleotides) under uncultured bacterium. RNAcentral describes it as "partial 16S ribosomal RNA". It matches the Rfam family "Bacterial small subunit ribosomal RNA", at positions 28 to 523 of the family's 1533-position model. The record is from RNAcentral.
GACGAACGCUGGCGGCGUGCUUAACACAUGCAAGUCGAACGGUAAGGCCCUUCGGGGUACACGAGUGGCGAACGGGUGAGUAACACGUGGGUGAUCUGCCCUGCACUUCGGGAUAAGCCUGGGAAACUGGGUCUAAUACCGGAUAGGACCACUGCCUGCAUGGGUGGCGGUGGAAAGCUUUUGCGGUGUGGGAUGGGCCCGCGGCCUAUCAGCUUGUUGGUGGAGUGAUGGCCUACCAAGGCGACGACGGGUAGCCGGCCUGAGAGGGUGACCGGCCACACUGGGACUGAGAUACGGCCCAGACUCCUACGGGAGGCAGCAGUGGGGAAUAUUGCACAAUGGGCGCAAGCCUGAUGCAGCGACGCCGCGUGAGGGAUGACGGCCUUCGGGUUGUAAACCUCUUUCAGCACCGAGGAAGCGCAAGUGACGGUAGGUGCAGAAGAAGGACCGGCCAACUACGUGCCAGCAGCCGCAGUAA